AAGAUACUAGUAAAAAUGCCAUUACAUUGCCUUGUCAAGACAAAAUAGCGGGUUAAACUCCCGCGUAUCUUA
RNAcentral lists this transfer RNA (72 nucleotides) under Poecilia parae. Its description in RNAcentral is "tRNA-Asp". It matches the Rfam family "tRNA". From Rfam's summary of the family: Transfer RNA (tRNA) molecules are approximately 80 nucleotides in length. Their secondary structure includes four short double-helical elements and three loops (D, anti-codon, and T loops). Lineage: Eukaryota; Metazoa; Chordata; Actinopteri; Cyprinodontiformes; Poeciliidae. The record is from RNAcentral.